Molecule: non-coding RNA, 220 nt
Filed under: Caldibacillus thermoamylovorans
Lineage: Bacteria; Bacillati; Bacillota; Bacilli; Caryophanales; Bacillaceae
Description: Bacillus thermoamylovorans T-box sequence
Rfam family: T-box leader
About the family: Uncharged tRNA acts as the effector for transcription antitermination of genes in the T-box leader family.
Source: RNAcentral
AAUUAAGCAAUGAUGGGAAUUUAGUAGUUUUGCUAUCCCUGUUUCGAGAGAACCGGUGGGUGGUGGAAACCGGUACAAAUAGGAAAACGAAUUACAUCCCUGAGCAUUCACUGUGAACAAGGUUUAUGUGGCUCGUAGCAGUGAACGGUUGUCCGUUAGCAAAAUGAGUGGAGGAAAUUUUCCUCAAGUUGGGUGGUACCGCGAUAGAUUCGUCCCUUCG